Molecule: long non-coding RNA, 3578 nt
Filed under: Triticum aestivum (bread wheat)
Lineage: Eukaryota; Viridiplantae; Streptophyta; Magnoliopsida; Poales; Poaceae
Description: long non-coding RNA (TAES_LNC006647)
Rfam family: MIR1120/MIR1122 microRNA precursor family (bases 1953-2077)
Source: RNAcentral
CGAUGGCUAGGGUUUCGGGAGUCGGCUCCAGCGCCGGUGGCCAUGUCGGCCUCUUCUCGCCGGUGAGUGAAUCCCCUUCCCUGGCUUCGUCCUCUCUCUCUCUUCCCCUUUCUCUAACCUCUAUUCUUCUCUUCUCCUGUAGACGUCUAUGUAUGCACCCCUGAUUCUAUUGCAGCUAAUCCCUGUUAAAAAAGUUUGCCCCUUGUGCAAUUCAUUUACGAACACUGAUAGGCCUGCAGACUGACUUCUGAUCUCCGUUGAUUUACAUUCAUGCACUAAUUGCUAUUCUAUUAAAAUAUUAAUUAUUAGAUAUCAAAUGGAGCAUCGGAAACAAUAGAUGAAUAUUGAGCACCCGUAUUGUGAUACUUGUCCGGCUGAAGAAAAUGUGGAUCACAUCAUAUUGAGAUGCGCUCUAGCUCACUUUCUGUGGAGUAAGUUGAUGUCUUGCAGCAGGCAACAGAAUCCCACUCCUUGCUGGACUUUGUACGGACAUUAAGAUCUGUUAGUCCACACGGGUUCGUGCUUUUUGCUGCCUGUGCGGUUCAGCUCUGGAAAGUGCGUAAUGCUUGUGUCUUUGACGGUCUGUCAAUGCCACAUUUUGCUUCUCGCCUUGCCAUCGCGGAGAUGAUUCAGCUAUGGUGCUAUAGAUAGAAGGAUUGCUCUCUCAAGGCCUUUCUUCAGCACCACUCGGAGCUCCUGAGGGCAUCUACAAUGCAGGCGCUUAGCAUGGGCGCCAGGCUCAAAUUCCCGGCCAAUUAGCGAUUAUUUUACUGAAUCCCGGUGCAAGGGUAAGCGUCGGCGCAAAACUGUGCACCGAGCGCUAGGCUCUUUUUCUUUCUACGUCGAGCGUCUAGGUAGUUAAAUUAACCCACGAAUUAGCGGCUGCCAUUGUAGACACGAGCGCUUAGAUGCCGAUUUAAUUUUUUUUAUAUUUAUUUUUAUCUGUGUUAGCGCCUACAUAAGCGGCUGGCAUUGUUGAUGCGUGAGGAACAUCAUUUAGUCAGGUUUUAGUCUAGAGGCUUGUUCCCCUUCCUCCCUGUUCUUUCUCAUAUUUCUAUUCCUCUUAUGCGGUGUUUUAACCGACAUCUUCUGUACCAAGACAAUUCUCAGACCUCGGUCUGGCUUUGGAAUAUAUAAGGUAGACUGUGGUCUACCUUCUUAUCAAAAAGAAAUAAAUCAAUGGAGCAUCAUUUAAAAAAAAUCUUAUACGCUGCUAACUCAUCAAUCCUUCAUAGAUUAGUAGGUAAUCCUUUCAAUUUUUUUGAUGUAGAGAAGCACUACUUCAUAUAUGCGGACCGCAUAUUAAGUAGUCUAUUGCAAGAGUUGUAAUAUUUAAGGAGGGAUCCUGUCUUUAUAGAUCUCUGUAUUGAUGCGUUACUAAUCAAUGUUUUUUGUUGCAAUUUCACACUUUUUAGAAGUCUGAUGGUCAAGUUAUUUAGGUCUGAGGUAGUAGCUCGCUAAUGGUGGCUUUCACAUCCAGCUCAAAUACAAGAGGACGUGGACCUGUUGGGAAAAGCACAUACACCUUUGUUUUAGUGAGCAGGUGAAUUAAUAAUGCACAAUGUUUCUUUUAUGAUGUUGCUUUGACGCUGUUGAUAUGAUUCAGAACCCUGAUAAAUACUAAACUCCACGCCUAUUAAUGUACUGAUUGUUGUACGCACUUACUAUUCUACACAAUUUGGAUUACUAGCUAAAUACCCGUGUGUUGCUAUGGGAUAACAAACAUUCAGUUUCAUGAACACGCCAAAUGUGAUACCCUGUUACUUUCCAACUGUAUUUCUAUACACUGACGUCCUUCUCUUCCUUUGGUUUGAAAAGCUAUGAUGCAACUCCCCAGUUAAAUUCCUUAGUCUUGCUAGACCCUCAUAGCAUGCAGUUAUCAUUUAUGCACUAGUCAACGCAGAGGAUUCAUCUAUACCAAGUACUUAUCUACUAAUCUAUAAAAAGCUACUUAUCUACUCCCUCCGUCCGCAAAUACUUGUCAAAGAAAUGGAUACAAAUGGAUGUAUCUAGAACUAAAAUGCAUCUAGAUACAUCCAAUCCCCAGACAAGUAUUUUCGGACGGAGGGAGUACUACAGUUGUACAUCAUAGUGAAAAUAAAACUGAAUCCCAGUACCCCACUUAGAUGCAACCUACACCUGAGCUUUAUGCAUGUUAAUGUGCAAACAUUCAGAUACUAAUGCUUGCAGCAAGCAUACACACAUGUACACUGGCAGAUGCUCACUGUUAAUCAUCAUGUUUGUCGUUUAUUAAGUAGAGGCUCACUGUUUGUUUGUGCGCAGGUUUCCAAAGAAAGAAAUACUCAAUGCCAUUCAAUGGCCUUCAAUUUGCCAGUCUCUACAUUCAUAGUAGGUCACUGGGUUUUACCUGCAACUAAGAUUAUUUCUGUUGUGGUGAUUAUUUAUUUAUUCCUUUAUUUCUUACAUUAGCUCUAACCAGUUUUCAGCCUCCUUUCCCGCUCUUAUUCAACUAUUUAUGUACUCCUAUCUUGCCAAUGGUGUACCUAUUGUUGUGUGUAAUUUAAUGUGAGGCGUCGCACUCAUCCGUUUAGGCACUCUCGAGAUGGAGGCCAACAUCAUGGAUGGCUGGAGCUGCGAGUAGAUUUGUCCAAGAUACGUCAGUGUUCGUAGUCAUGGUUCUGGUAAUUGUAUACGAUCUCCAUAUCUUAACUGUUUGUGAAGACGGAAAUGCAAGUUCUUCUUCUUAGAUGCUCUUGCCUUUUUGAUUCAUACAUAGCUAAACUGACCACUGACAUCUCACCACUUUGAUUCAUAAAUUGCUGAAUUACCCACAUGAACUCUUGCUGUCAUGGUUCAUAAAUUGCUGAAUUUCCCAUUAUGUGGCUUCCACUGUUCCAUAUGAGUAGUGUCUACUGUGAUUUUAACCAGUCAACUAAGUAGGUACUAUGUUAUUAGUGGCUUGCUUUUAGGCCACAAUGACAUCUAUUUAUUUUUCUCCAAGUCUGUUUAUGUUUGUGUUGUGACCUGAAGUCGUAUAUUGAGUUGUAAGGGAAUACUUUCAGAUCACAACUUUUCUUUGUAAUAGUCGUAAUCUAGCCGGCCAAUCAAUUUUUCGGAAGUAAUGACCCUUUGCAAGAAGUAAUAUUUCUUAUUUGCUGGGCAACCUGGCACUAUUUGCAUCAUGUCAAUGCAUUGUGUAUUAACAGUUUAUUUUGUUAUUUUCUAUGUAGAUUCAAAAGAUAUGUGGAUGCUUAUAUGGGUGUGUGGCAAGUAUACUGCGAUGAUGACGAUGAUGUUCCAGUUCACGAUGAUGACAAUGAUGGCUGUUUUCAGUUGUAGUUAUGAUGGGUGUUUUCAGUUUUAGUUAAGUUGUAGGGAUGAUGUUCGUGUUAGAUGAUGUUCCUCGGUUAAGUUUUAGUUAACUUGUAGGGAUGUCGAUGGAUGCUUUCAGUUUAAGAAUAUUUAGAUUAUGCAUCACAUUUGGAUGUUAUUCCUUCUGUAAUAUCAACAAUUGUAAUCUCACAGUUUUUUCCAAUAUAUGAUUUCUUCCUUGUGUGUAUAUUUUUUCUUCUGACUUGAUAUACAUAAUUAUCACCAUUAUGUGGAGCAUUAAUUUA